CCUACGGGAGGCAGCAGUAGGGAAUCUUCCGCAAUGGACGAAAGUCUGACGGAGCAACGCCGCGUGAGUGAUGAAGGUUUUCGGAUCGUAAAGCUCUGUUGCCAGGGAAGAACGCCUAAGAGAGUAACUGCUCUUAGGGUGACGGUACCUGAGAAGAAAGCCCCGGCUAACUACGUGCCAGCAGCCGCGGUAAUACGUAGGGGGCGAGCGUUGUCCGGAAUUAUUGGGCGUAAAGCGCGCGCAGGCGGCAAUGUAAGUUGGGUGUUUAAACCUAGGGCUCAACCUUGGGUCGCAUCCAAAACUGCAUAGCUUGAGUACAGAAGAGAAAGUGGAAUUCCACGUGUAGCGGUGAAAUGCGUAGAGAUGUGGAGAACACCGUGGCGAGGCGACUUUCUGGGCUGUAACUGACGCUGAGCGCGAAAGCGUGGGAGCAAACAGGAUUAGAUACCUGGUAGUCCACGCGGUAAACGAUGAAUGCUAGGUGUUAGGGUUUCGAUACCUUGGUGCCGAAGUUAACACAUUAAGCAUUCCGCCUGGGGAGUACGGUCGCAAGACUGAAACUCAAAGGAAUUGACGGGGACCCGCACAAGCAGUGGAGUAUGUGGUUUAAUUCGAAGCAACGCGAAGAACCUUAC
Molecule: ribosomal RNA, 635 nt
Filed under: bacterium SC6-26
Lineage: Bacteria
Description: bacterial SSU rRNA
Rfam family: Bacterial small subunit ribosomal RNA
Source: RNAcentral